This 660-nucleotide ribosomal RNA is filed under the name Pallasea viridis. Its description in RNAcentral is "bacterial SSU rRNA". It matches the Rfam family "Eukaryotic small subunit ribosomal RNA", at positions 1255 to 1760 of the family's 1831-position model. The record is from RNAcentral. Lineage: Eukaryota; Metazoa; Arthropoda; Malacostraca; Amphipoda; Pallaseidae.
CUCUUUCUCGAUUCAGUGGAUGGUGGUGCAUGGCCGUUCUUAGUUGGUGGAGUGAUCUGUCUGGUUAAUUCCGAUAACGAACGAGACUCUCCCCUGCUAACUAGUCGGUUGGAUCUUGAUCAGUGGGUUGAGUGCCGAGUAACUCUCGCUGUGCGUGGUGUGCGUCUCGUUCCUCACGGUUCGUUGCGUGCUCAUGUGUGGCGUUGGAUGCCUUGGAUCACACUGCACCCCAAGUCCGCCGCUUUGCUAUAACUCUUCUUAGAGGGAUUCACGGCACUGAAGCCGUAAGAGACUGAGAGCAAUAACAGGUCUGUGAUGCCCUUAGAUGCUCUGGGCCGCACGCGCGCUACAAUGCCGGGCACAGCAGGUGUUUCUCCUGCUCCGACAGGAGCGGGUAACCCUCUGAAAGCCAGUGUUCUUGCAAGUGCUUCCUCCCUCGUGGAGUUGCACAGAGGCGUGCUUGGGCCUGGGACUUGCAAUUCUUUCCCACCAACGAGGAAUGCCUAGUAGCGGCGGGUCACUGAGCCCGCUGUGACUCAGUCCCUGCCCUUUGUACACACCGCCCGUCGCUACUACCGAUUGGGUGUACCAGUGAGAGCCUUGGACUGGCGUCCGUUGUUGCUCGCAAGAGUGACAAGCGGGUCCGACGGAAAGAGGUCC